GAUGAACGCUGGCGGGAGGCUUAACACAUGCAAGUCGAGGGGCAGCAUAGGGUAGCAAUACUCUGAUGGCGACCGGCAAACGGGUGAGUAACGCGUAUGCAACCUACCCUGUACAGGGGGAUAACCCGGAGAAAUUCGGACUAAUAUCCCGUAAUAAUAUCCGGAGGCAUCUUUGGAUAUUUAAAGUUCCGACGGUACGGGAUGGGCAUGCGUAACAUUAGCUGGUUGGUAAGGUAACGGCUUACCAAGGCUAUGAUGUUUAGGGGUCCUGAGAGGGUGGUCCCCCACACUGGUACUGAGACACGGACCAGACUCCUACGGGAGGCAGCAGUGAGGAAUAUUGGUCAAUGGGCGCAAGCCUGAACCAGCCAUCCCGCGUGCAGGAAGACGGCCCUAUGGGUUGUAAACUGCUUUUCCAGGGAGAGAAACUUACGCACGUGUUGCGUGACUGACGGUACCCUGGGAAUAAGCAUCGGCUAACUCCGUGCCAGCAGCUGCGGUAAACA
Molecule: ribosomal RNA, 506 nt
Filed under: uncultured bacterium
Lineage: Bacteria
Description: bacterial SSU rRNA
Rfam family: Bacterial small subunit ribosomal RNA
Source: RNAcentral